Molecule: long non-coding RNA, 241 nt
Organism: Rhipicephalus sanguineus (brown dog tick)
Lineage: Eukaryota; Metazoa; Arthropoda; Arachnida; Ixodida; Ixodidae
Exons: 3
Source: RefSeq, a predicted model, not a curated record
GUAUGGACAAGACAGGAUGUGGGACCUCCUCUAUGAGAAAUCUGGCGUGCAGUUGGCUUAUCAAGUGUGGAGGCUGUUAUACAACCAUGUUACCGUCAACAAGGACAUGCAACUCAGGCUCGGCUACAUCAAGUUUUUCAGCGAAGAGAUGAUAUUCUUCGUAACGGCGGCUAACGGUCUCUGCUACACCGCGAACCCGCUGUAUUCUAGCAAAAAAGAACAAGAGCUUGCUCCAAAAAGG